GCCUGAGUGGUUCAGUUGGUUGAGCGUCCGACUUUGGCUCAGGUCAUGAUCUCAUAGUUUGUGGGUUCGAGCCCCACGUCGGGCU
This 85-nucleotide transfer RNA is filed under the name Felis catus (domestic cat). It matches the Rfam family "tRNA". From Rfam's summary of the family: Transfer RNA (tRNA) molecules are approximately 80 nucleotides in length. Their secondary structure includes four short double-helical elements and three loops (D, anti-codon, and T loops). The record is from Rfam by way of RNAcentral. Lineage: Eukaryota; Metazoa; Chordata; Mammalia; Carnivora; Felidae.